AAAUGCCGCUGGUAAAAAGAAACAUAGACCCCAGGCAUCUGUGCCACACAGCUCUGCCCCGAGGUAUCAAGAAUGAGUUGGAAUGUGUCACCAAUAUCUCCUUGGCAAAUAUAAUCAGACAGCUGAGUAGCCUAAAUACAGGUUAAAGAACAUAAACUUUUCAGAGUUUCAAGACGUAUAUUAGAAAGUCUUGUGUUAGGUAAAUAUGCUGAAGAUAUAUUUGGUGAACUUUUCAACGAAGCACACAGUUUCUCAUUUAGAGUCAACUCCCUACAAGAACGUGUGGAUCGCCUAUCUGUCAGUGUUACGCAACUUGAUCCAAAGGAAGAAGAACUGUCAUUGCAGGACAUUACAAUGAGGAAAGCUUUCCGCAGUUCCACGAUUCAAGAUCAGCAGCU
Molecule: long non-coding RNA, 398 nt
Organism: Cygnus olor (mute swan)
Lineage: Eukaryota; Metazoa; Chordata; Aves; Anseriformes; Anatidae
Exons: 4
Source: RefSeq, a predicted model, not a curated record